AGAAUCAACGCUGGCGGCGUGCCUCAGACAUGCAAGUCGAACGAUUAAAGCUCUCUUCGGAGAGUGUAUAGAGUGGCGCACGGGUGAGUAACACGUAAGUAAUCUACCUUCGAGUGGGGAAUAACAGUCGAAACGACUGCUAAUACCGCAUAAUGCAGCGGCAUCGCAAGAUGACAGUUGUUAAAGGAUUUAUUCGCUUGAAGAGGAGCUUGCGGCAGAUUAGCUAGUUGGUAAGGUAAUGGCUUACCAAGGCUACGAUCUGUAACCGGUCUAAGAGGACGGUCGGUCACACUGACACUAGAAUAACGGGUACAGACUCCUACGGGAGGCAGCAGUCGGAAUUUUGGGCAAGUGGGCGUAAAGCCUAGGACCCAGCAAACGCCGACCGUGAAGGAUAGAAGUAAUUUCGGUAAUGUAAACUUCGAAAGAAUAGGAAG
Molecule: ribosomal RNA, 437 nt
Filed under: uncultured soil bacterium
Lineage: Bacteria
Description: bacterial SSU rRNA
Rfam family: Bacterial small subunit ribosomal RNA
Source: RNAcentral